RNAcentral lists this ribosomal RNA (755 nucleotides) under uncultured bacterium. RNAcentral describes it as "bacterial SSU rRNA". It matches the Rfam family "Bacterial small subunit ribosomal RNA", at positions 8 to 796 of the family's 1533-position model. The record is from RNAcentral.
AGAGUUUGAUCAUGGCUCAGAAUCAACGCUGGCGGCGCGCUUAACACAUGCAAGUCGAACGAGAAAGGGGAGCAAUCCCUGAGUACAGUGGCGUACGGGUGAGUAACACGUGGAUGAUCUACCUUCUGGUGUGGAAUAACCCUGGGAAACCGGGGCUAAUACCGCAUAAGCUCGAGAGAGGAAAGCAGCAAUGCGCCGGAAGAGGAGUCCGCGGCCGAUUAGCUAGUUGGCAGGGUAAAAGCCUACCAAGGCGAAGAUCGGUAGCCGGCCUGAGAGGGCACACGGCCACACUGGCACUGAAACACGGGCCAGACUCCUACGGGAGGCAGCAGUGGGGAAUCUUGCACAAUGGGGGCAACCCUGAUGCAGCGACGCCGCGUGAGCGAUGAAGCCCUUCGGGGUGUAAAGCUCUUUCGGCAGGGAAGAUGAUGACGGUACCUGCAGAAGCAGCUGCGGCUAACUACGUGCCAGCAGCCGCGGUAAUACGUAGGCAGCGAGCGUUGUUCGGAGUUACUGGGCGUAAAGGGUGUGUAGGCGGUUGUUUAAGUUUGGUGUGAAAUCUCCCGGCUCAACUGGGAGGGUGCGCCGAAUACUGAAUGACUAGAGUGCGGGAGAGGAGAGUGGAAUUCCUGGUGUAGCGGUGAAAUGCGCAGAUAUCAGGAGGAACACCNUGGCGAAGGCAGCUCGCUGGGACGGUACUGACGCUGAGACGCGAAAGCGUGGGGAGCAAACAGGAUUAGAUACCCUAGUAGUCC